Molecule: long non-coding RNA, 3519 nt
Organism: Felis catus (domestic cat)
Lineage: Eukaryota; Metazoa; Chordata; Mammalia; Carnivora; Felidae
Exons: 3
Source: RefSeq, a predicted model, not a curated record
CCUUAAUUUAUUAUGAAAUGAGAAUGAACAUAUUGAGCAACACUUAACUCACCAAAAUGCUGGCUCCAUUGCAAUUACCAUUCCUUUUCUCUAUUAGACUGUAUUUUGUGCCACUCAUAUUCUGUAUUUGAAAGGCAUCUUUAGUUUUCCUAAGCAAAUUAUUAGGUUUUCAAAAAUAAGAUAACACAGUUUGGUUUUUUUGAAAAGUAAAGAGCCCCUUCUAGACUUUCCCUUCCCUUUGUUGGAAGCAGUAAGCCAAGAACAAAAGAAUCACAGUGGCAUGUCUAAAGCUUGGAGAAUUUGCUCAGAAAAGUUCCCCAAACACAGGUCUUUUAGGAGCCAGUAAAUUAAACACCUGACACACUGUCUCAUUGGCUCCAACACACAGGGUCAUCUGAUUAUGCCUCCUCAUAAAUGGCCAAAUUAAUCUCAAUCCCUUUAAAAGGUAUAAUUCCUGUAGAACCCAAGAAUAUGUGGUUAGUUACUGUCACUCCUGAAAAGUUCUGUUUCUCUGGUACUAACUGAUAAAGACGGGGAUUUCUCAAAGUCAAUCACUCAAAAUAAAGAACUGAAAUCCGUUUUAACAUACCUCUGGGAAGCAGAUCUACAUUAACCUCGUCUAGGACUUCUCUGGCAAUAAUAAGGUUUAAGAGAGUGCACAGCCACUGGUGAUUUCUGCAAGUGAUACAGUGAGGGGACAGAGACAAUGAGGCAAACAUAAAAUGGGACCUGGGAUUAAGGGAUCUUCCACUCAGCCAUGUGUAGAAUGUUGGAAAUUAAUGUGCUAUUGUUUAGCAGGCAGCUGUCAAGUUAUUGUAAUUUGCAAAAUGCUUUUUUUUUUCCCUCUUCUCCCUCACUGAAGGCAUGUUAGAAAUGGCUUCAUUUCUGAGGGAUGACAAAGUUAAUCCUAUCUUGAGUUCCAUUUGAAGAAAGUGACACUCAAAGCUUGUUUUGCAUUUAUCAAAUGAGCCAGUGAGUUCAACAUUUACUGAGCACCUCUGAAUGGAAGACUUACGGUUGGAUACCAGGGUUAUAAAGAUGAAUUGAGAACAGUCACUUCCAUCAAGAUAUUUAAUGUCUGGUGGGAGUUACAAACAGAGCAGAACUUUGUAAUUUUCUUUUCUGGAAAUAUAUGAGUAGAAGUCAGCAAAGGGUAGUAAGGGAAGACACAGGUGGACCUAAUGGGUGGUUUGAAAAUUUAAGAGCAAUGGAAUGGAGACAAACCCAGAGAAAGGAGACUAGUGCCCAGGCAGGGUCCUGGGCUGGGUAUGGGUCUCUGAGGUCUUUAACAUAUCCAGGGGCAAUCUGUGUCUCCACAGAAAUAUCUCACUGUAUUAGAAUUAUAUAACGGUGUUUAUUAAAUACAAUUUAAUUACAAGCCCUUGAGCAAGAACUGUGUUUUAUCUUCUAGCAUCUAGCAGUGUGUGAUAUCCUGUGUGCACAAAGUAAUCAAAAAGUGGCAGAAAUUUAGCCACACCUGAACAAAGAUUUUGAGAACACUAUUAGUGGCACAAAUCUAAGUUCAAAAGAAACAAAACACAGGGCUACGCUGUGAUACACAACAGCGGUUCAGAAGCUAGGACAGCAGUAAACGCUUCAGGAAAUGGGGAUCUAAGGUGGGCAAGGAGCAAUCAUCUGGCAUAUCGGCUCUAAUAAAUAGAGGGAUGCUUAGGAAUAGUUCAUAAGAGGUGGUGAAUUGUGAGGGUGCAGGGCCAGUUGGUAAGUUUACCAGUACAGGAGUUGUUCAGAUGAGCUGAGGAAAUAACUAACUAAAUAAGUAAACAAAUAACAAAAAGGACCUUCAUCCCUUUGCAUCCGCUUUAUGCCAAGGCAUGCCAGAAUAAUGAUUGCUUUAAACUUCCAUGACCCCUUCCCGACAUUGAUCUGCUGAUGAAAACCUUCCAAUCAUAAGGACUGCACUGCACCCCAAAUAGAAAUGCCAUAAAGUUUAUUUUGAUAAAUUGUACUCAUUCUGUACCUGAGAAGCCUACCACAGAUGGAACAUAUAUCAGAUGAUUACCUGGGUUCCCACUUGCUGAGGAUGUCCUGCUUGCCAGUUGGUCAGAAGUGAUCAGCCACUGCGGUCUUACUUUGAUCCAUUGCAUUUUAUUUUUUCUGCAGCCAAAGAACUUGGCGUCCAAACAGAAGUGUCAUCACUUGAUAAUGGAUAUACUUGAAUCAGCCAAGCUACCCAUUCAGCAGCAGGAUAUUUGACAGCCUUUCUGAUUAAAGAAAAGAAGGUUCUUGGCUGAGACUUCCCUGUAAUAAAAGAUGGAUCAACAUGAAAACAACAAACUGAAGUUUAGUAACAAGUAUACAUCCUGCGUACAUGGAAGAGACCCAAGAAAACUGUGUAACUCCCCACAGUGGUCCAAGCCAUCACCUUAAAUAUCCUCUCUACCUAAAGACAGAAGAAGAUGAUGCUGGGCCAGACUGGGAAGCCAGUUCUGGGAGAUUUUUAGACAAAGCACAGUAACCAAAGCUCAGCAAGACACAGCUCUGUUUACACUCUCAGGCCAUGAUCCAUAAAGUUGCCUUUGGCCUCAACUGACCCCCUUUCUCCAUGUCAGAAUUGGAGAGAAGAAACACUCACAAGAUGGAAUAAAGAAUUGAAUGGUCUACUUCUUGUUUCUGCCAAGUUAGUGUCUGCUACAAAAAGAGAAACAAAUGAAAAAAAAAAACUAAUUAACUUAAGUCUAAGUAAGUGCUUCUUAUUAAUAUGCAUAUGAAUCUCCUGGUGAUCUUGAUAAAUUUCUGCUUCACUAUUUCUGAGGUAAGGCCUGAGAUUCUGCAUUUCUAACAAGCUCCCAGGUGAUGUUGAUACUGCUUGUCAGAAGACCACAUUUUGAGUAGUGUGUUAGCAGAAUUUUAAUGAAGCCCCUCCCUAGCCAAGGGGAAAGGAGUUUGCUGUUGUAGUUAAAGUCUCAAGUCAGUUGACCCUACGAUGUGGAGGUUAUCCAGUGGAGCCUGAUCUAAUCUCAUACAACCUUUAAAUGGCAGGCUCUAGAGGGAAAAAGAGGAGUCAAAGACAUUUGAAGCGUAAGAGGGGUGUGACCGGCUGCUACUUUGAACGUGGAGGGGGCACAUGAGAAGGACUCUGUCGACUUUGAAGAGGUGAGCAUGGCCCUUAGUUGGCAGCCAGAAAGGAAAUGGAGACCUCCAAACUGGCUGACACCUUCGAUGAGCUGGAUUCCACAGCAACAUGAAUGAGGUUGGAAGGGGAUUCAUGCUCAGAGACUCUGGAACAGAUAGCUGCCUGGCUGCUUUCUGCCUUGUGAGGCUCCACGUGGGGAACCCAGCUUGGCCGUGCUGUGCCCAAACUUGUGACCCACAGGAACUGUGAGAUAAUAAAUGGUGUUGUUUUAAGCUGCUAAAUAGUUGAUAAUUCGUUACACAGGAACUGGAAACUAAUUCAAGUAAGAAGGUUCUAAUUCAAUCCAACCAACUAAAAUUUUGCCAUUCGUGUCUGGGUAAGAAGUUCUGAUCGUUUUUCCCUCAAAACCUAAGGACAGUCUUUUU